AACUGAGGACGACCUCAGUUCGGCAUUUCACCGGGGACGGCCCUG
RNAcentral lists this non-coding RNA (45 nucleotides) under Pseudomonas sp. Its description in RNAcentral is "Guanidine-II sequence". It matches the Rfam family "Guanidine-II riboswitch aptamer (mini-ykkC)". From Rfam's summary of the family: Simpler in structure and has fewer highly conserved nucleotide positions than the ykkC-yxkD leader. The record is from RNAcentral. RNAcentral also lists the same sequence under 1 other name. Lineage: Bacteria; Pseudomonadati; Pseudomonadota; Gammaproteobacteria; Pseudomonadales; Pseudomonadaceae.